AUUUAUGGAGAGUUUGAUCCUGGCUCAGGACGAACGCUGGCGGCGUGCUUAACACAUGCAAGUCGAACGGAGUAUUAGCGAGAAGUUUACUUUUUGCUAAAACUUAGUGGCGGACGGGUGAGUAACGCGUGGAUAACCUGCCUAUUAGCCUGGGAUAACGCCUGGAAACGGGUGCUAAUACCGGAUACGCUCAUUGUGCUGCAUAACAUAAUGAGGAAAAGGCUACUGCUAAUAGAUGGGUCCGCGUCCCAUUAGCUUGUUGGUAGGGUAACGGCCUACCAAGGCGACGAUGGGUAGCCGGCCUGAGAGGGCGAUCGGCCACACUGGAACUGAGACACGGUCCAGACUCCUACGGGAGGCAGCAGUGGGGAAUCUUCCGCAAUGGGCGAAAGCCUGACGGAGCAACGCCGCGUGA
RNAcentral lists this ribosomal RNA (415 nucleotides) under Peptococcaceae bacterium BRH_c8a. RNAcentral's name for it is "bacterial SSU rRNA". It matches the Rfam family "Bacterial small subunit ribosomal RNA", at positions 1 to 404 of the family's 1533-position model. Lineage: Bacteria; Bacillati; Bacillota; Clostridia; Eubacteriales; Peptococcaceae. The record is from RNAcentral.